AUGCCUUUUUCAUUUCGAAUUUUUUCUUUUCGCUUUCUCGCCCCCUCGUCUCUUCCCCUUCCUAUUUUUCCAGCGGCGGAUACCUCGGUUGGUGGUCAGGCGUCCAGCGCUCUCCCAUCAGUUGCGCCGCCGCAUCUCCCGGCCGAGGUUUCUUACCUUGACCAUGUGCACUCUGGGUUGAAUUAUCUUCCUGACAGCAAGCCUAGAAUUCUGGUAUGGAGAGGUAACAAAGUUAAGGAUUUCUCGGAAUUACAUAAGAGCAACAGUCGUUCGUAUGGCAAGAGGCCGUUGAAGCGUUUAUCACCAUCAGUUUACGCACAGAAGUCUUGUGAAAAGUUUUCAUGUUCAGUAACAAGUGGUGCAGCUACCUAUAGUAUCCCCUUUGCCAAUAAGAUUUCAACAUCAGAAGUUCAUGCUCCAGCUGUUGAUAAUGUCUCUUUUGCCUGUAAAGUUGAAACGGCUUAUGCUUCACGGUUUGGAAAUGAGGUAAGCUUUUUUCUUGCCUUUUUUGCUGUUUUCUCCUCCUUUUUUGUAUAUCAUUUUUUCUGUGCCUCAGACUUUUCAAGAUUGGUCGGGGUCCCUUGUUUCAAGAUUUAUACUGGAUUUACAGUGUCCAGUGUAAUUCUAAGUGGAUUUACACUGUAA
Molecule: ribosomal RNA, 645 nt
Filed under: Triticum aestivum (bread wheat)
Lineage: Eukaryota; Viridiplantae; Streptophyta; Magnoliopsida; Poales; Poaceae
Description: partial small subunit ribosomal RNA
Source: RNAcentral